UACGAAGGGGGCUAGCGUUGCUCGGAAUUACUGGGCGUAAAGCGCACGUAGGCGGUCUUUUAAGUCGGGGGUGAAAUCCUGGAGCUCAACUCCAGAACUGCCUUCGAUACUGGCGCUCUUGAGUCCGGAAGAGGUGAGUGGAACUCCUAGUGUAGAGGUGGAAUUCGUAGAUAUUAGGAAGAACACCAGUGGCGAAGGCGGCUCACUGGUCCGGUACUGACGCUGAGGUGCGAAAGCGUGGGGAGCAAACAGG
This 253-nucleotide ribosomal RNA is filed under the name uncultured bacterium. RNAcentral describes it as "partial 16S ribosomal RNA". It matches the Rfam family "Bacterial small subunit ribosomal RNA", at positions 524 to 776 of the family's 1533-position model. The record is from RNAcentral.